AAACCUCUCCCCUUUGUCUUCUGCAUUUCACUGCUUCUUAACUUUUCUUUUUCUUUCUUUCAUUUUUCUUCCUUUCUCUCUCUCUCCCUUCCUUCCUUCCUUCCUUCCUUUCUCUCUCUCUCUCUCCUUUUCUUUCUUUCUUUCUUUCUUUCUUUCUUUCUUUCUUUCUUUCUUUUUUUCUCUCUCUUUCUCUUUCUUUCUUUCUUUCUUUCUUUCUUUCUUUCUUUUUUUCUCUCUCUUUCUCUUUCUUUCUUUCUUUCUUUCUUUUUUCUCUCUCUUUCUUUUUCUUUCUUUCUUUUUUUCUCUCUUUUUCUUUCUUUCUUUCUUUCUUUCUUUCUUUCUUUCUUUCUUUCUUUCUUUCUUUCUUUCUUUCUUUCUUUCUUUUCUUUCUUUCUUUCUUUCUUCUUUCUUUCUUUCUUUCUUUCUUUUUUCUCUCUCUUUUUCUUUCUUUCGUUCUUUCUUUCUUCUUUCUUUCUUCUUUCUUUCUUCUUUCUUUCUUCUUUCUUUCUUCCUUCCUUCCUUCCUUUCUCUCUCUUUUUCUCUCUCUUCUCUCUCUCUCUCUCCUUUUCUUUCUUUCUCUCUCUUCUCUCUCUUUCUCUUUCUUUCUUCUUUCUUUCUUUCGUUCUUUCUUUCUUUUUUUCUCUCUCUUUCUCUUUCUUUCUUCUUUCUUUCUUUUUUUCUCUCUCUUUUUCUUUCUUUCUUUCUUUCUCUCUCUCUCUCUCCUUUUCUUUCUUCCUUCCUUCCUUCCUUCCUUCCUUCCUUCCUUCCUUCCUUCCUUCCUUCCUCUCUCUCUCUCCUUUUCUUUCUUUCGUUCUUUCUUUCUUUCUUUUCUUCUUUCUUUCUUUUUUUUCUCUCUCUUUCUUUCUUUCUUUCGUUCUUUCUUUCGUUCUUUCUUUCUUCCUUCCUUCCUUCCUCCUUCCUUCCUUCCUUCUUCCUUCCUUCCUUUCUCUCUCUUUCUCUUUCUUUCUUUCUUCCUUCCUUCCUUCCUUCCUUCCUUCCUUCUUCCUUCCUUCCUUCUCUCUCUUCAUUUCUGCAAACACUCUCUGUUUUCUAGCUGCUUGCCAUAUUUUGGUCUAUUUUAAUAGUCCAGUCUUGGUUACAUAUAGUUUCUAA
RNAcentral lists this long non-coding RNA (1113 nucleotides) under Felis catus (domestic cat). Its description in RNAcentral is "lncRNA (ENSFCAG00000052395.1)". Lineage: Eukaryota; Metazoa; Chordata; Mammalia; Carnivora; Felidae. The record is from RNAcentral.